RNAcentral lists this ribosomal RNA (253 nucleotides) under uncultured bacterium. RNAcentral's name for it is "partial 16S ribosomal RNA". It matches the Rfam family "Bacterial small subunit ribosomal RNA", at positions 524 to 776 of the family's 1533-position model. The record is from RNAcentral.
UACGUAGGUGGCGAGCGUUGUCCGGAAUUACUGGGUGUAAAGGGCGAGUAGGCGGACAUACAAGUCAGAAGUGAAAUCUAGGGGCUCAACCCCUAAACUGCUUUUGAAACUGUAUGCCUUGAGUGCCGGAGAGGAAAGCGGAAUUCCUAGUGUAGCGGUGAAAUGCGUAGAUAUUAGGAGGAACACCAGUGGCGAAGGCGGCUUUCUGGACGGUAACUGACGCUGAGGCGCGAAAGCGUGGGGAGCAAACAGG